UACGUAGGGACCGAGCGUUGUCCGGAUUCAUUGGGCGUAAAGAGCGCGCAGGCGGUCGUUCAAGUCGCGUGUGAAAGCCCCCGGCUCAACUGGGGAGGGUCACGCGAUACUGAUCGACUCGAAGGCAGGAGAGGGUAGUGGAAUUCCCGGUGUAGUGGUGAAAUGCGUAGAUAUCGGGAGGAACACCAGUGGCGAAGGCGACUACCUGGCCUGUUUCUUGACGCUGAGGCGCGAAAGCUAGGGGAGCAAACGGG
RNAcentral lists this ribosomal RNA (254 nucleotides) under uncultured bacterium. RNAcentral's name for it is "partial 16S ribosomal RNA". It matches the Rfam family "Bacterial small subunit ribosomal RNA", at positions 524 to 776 of the family's 1533-position model. The record is from RNAcentral.